This 73-nucleotide transfer RNA is filed under the name Paramuricea clavata. It matches the Rfam family "tRNA". From Rfam's summary of the family: Transfer RNA (tRNA) molecules are approximately 80 nucleotides in length. Their secondary structure includes four short double-helical elements and three loops (D, anti-codon, and T loops). Lineage: Eukaryota; Metazoa; Cnidaria; Anthozoa; Malacalcyonacea; Plexauridae. The record is from Rfam by way of RNAcentral.
GACCACGUAGCUCAGUUGGCAGAGCAUUGGGCUGGUAUUCCAAAGGUCGUAGGUUCGAUUCUCACCGGGGUCA